Molecule: ribosomal RNA, 452 nt
Filed under: Vibrio alginolyticus
Lineage: Bacteria; Pseudomonadati; Pseudomonadota; Gammaproteobacteria; Vibrionales; Vibrionaceae
Description: bacterial SSU rRNA
Rfam family: Bacterial small subunit ribosomal RNA
Source: RNAcentral
AAAUUGAAGAGUUUGAUCAUGGCUCAGAUUGAACGCUGGCGGCAGGCCUAACACAUGCAAGUCGAGCGGAAACGAGUUAUCUGAACCUUCGGGGAACGAUAACGGCGUCGAGCGGCGGACGGGUGAGUAAUGCCUAGGAAAUUGCCCUGAUGUGGGGGAUAACCAUUGGAAACGAUGGCUAAUACCGCAUGAUGCCUACGGGCCAAAGAGGGGGACCUUCGGGCCUCUCGCGUCAGGAUAUGCCUAGGUGGGAUUAGCUAGUUGGUGAGGUAAGGGCUCACCAAGGCGACGAUCCCUAGCUGGUCUGAGAGGAUGAUCAGCCACACUGGAACUGAGACACGGUCCAGACUCCUACGGGAGGCAGCAGUGGGGAAUAUUGCACAAUGGGCGCAAGCCUGAUGCAGCCAUGCCGCGUGUAUGAAGAAGGCCUUCGGGUUGUAAAGCACUUUCAG